ACAUAACUGAUGCCUCCGCGUAUCGACUUUGUGCGCAUUUUAGCUAUUAUGUGUUCUUUUAAUUAAAAUGAUUCUUUUUAAGAUUCAUCUAUUAAAAAUUUGCUUCGGCAUAAUUUUUUUUGAUGAUCUUGUUACUUUGAGUAAAUUAGAGUGUUCAAAGCAAACAGAUAUAGCAUUUGUGCGUUUGAAUACUACAGCAUGGAAUAACAAAAUUGAACAAGUCAGAAUUUUUUUGUUCUUUUUUCUUAUUUUGGCUUAGUUACGAUUAAUAGGAGUAGCUUGGGGGCAUUUGUAUUCAGAUGUCAGAGGUGAAAUUCUUAGAUUUUCUGGAGACAAACAACUGCGAAAGCAUUUGCCUAAAAUACUUCCAUUAAUCAAGAACGAAAGUUAAGGGAGUGAAGACGAUCAGAUACCGUCGUAAUCUUAACCAUAAACUAUGCCGACUAGGCUUUGGAUGAAAGAUUUUAAAAUAAGAGUUUUUCUUUUCUCUCCGGAGAUUAGAACUCUUAGAUUGCUUCCUUCAGUGCCUUAUGAGAAAUCAAGGUCUUUGGGUUCUGGGGCGAGUAUUCGCGCAAGCGAGAAAGUUAAAAGAAUUGACGGAAGGGCACCACCAGGCGUGGAGCUUGCGGCUUAAUUUGACUCAACACGGGAAAACUCACUAGUUUAAGACAAGAGUAGGAUUGACAGAUUAAUAGCUCUUUCUUGAUUUCUUGGAUGGUGAUGCAUGGCCGUUUUUAGUUCGUGAAUAUGAUUUGUCUGGUUAAUUCCGAUAACGAACGAGAUCUUAACCUGCUAAUUAGCGGCAAAUACGAUAUAUUCUUAUGUAGAAUUGAAUAUAGUGGAUUUGUUGGAUUUUGAAGAAAAUAUUGGAAUUACGUUAAAUGUGAUUCCUUUCCCUUUUCUACUUAAUUUACAUUUCCAUCUAUUUCUUUUUUGCGUAUGAAUGUAUUUGCUUGAUUGUAAAGCUUCUUAGAGGAACGAUGUGUG
This 987-nucleotide ribosomal RNA is filed under the name Plasmodium knowlesi. RNAcentral describes it as "SSU rRNA". It matches the Rfam family "Eukaryotic small subunit ribosomal RNA", at positions 638 to 1428 of the family's 1831-position model. Lineage: Eukaryota; Apicomplexa; Aconoidasida; Haemosporida; Plasmodiidae. The record is from RNAcentral.